This is an RNA transcript of Vigna umbellata (rice bean), 585 nucleotides long. It is a transcript of the gene named dol-P-Glc:Glc(2)Man(9)GlcNAc(2)-PP-Dol alpha-1,2-glucosyltransferase-like, with no coding region annotated. The record is from RefSeq and is a predicted model, not a curated record. NCBI's taxonomy places the organism in Eukaryota, Viridiplantae, Streptophyta, Magnoliopsida, Fabales, Fabaceae.
UGUAGCUCAUCCAUACCUUCUUGCUGAUAAUCGGGCAUUACCCUUUUUAUCUUUGGAGGAAAAUUAUAAUGGCUCAUUGAUCAACUAAAUACCCUCUGGUCCCAGUUUAUAUAUAUGUUCAUGGCUUUCCAUCAUCCACAUGUUGGGAAAAGCUAGAAGUAAAAUAUGGGUUUUGGCAUACUUCUUGGCCACUGCAGCUGUUCUUGUACCAGCUCCACUGAUAGAGUUCAGAUACUACACCAUACCAUUCUAUUUCCUGGUGCUUCACUGUGACAAUAGCGAUGAUCAAAGUUGGAUUCUCACAGGCAUACUGUAUAUUGCGGUCAAUAUCUUUUCAAUGGCCAUGUUUCUGUUUCGGCCUUUCCAUUGGGAUCAUGAGCCUGGAAUCCAAAGGUUUAUAUGGUGAUUCAAUUCAUUGAAAAAAAUAUUUGUGACAGCGAAACUACCUUUUUUUGUGAGGCUUUUACCUCCAGUUUUAUAAGAGUGGAAUUUUAAAUCUACUUAGUUAUCUUUUUGAGGGAUUUAAAUCUCCUUAGUUGAUAUGAUAACCCUUUUAACUACUUGAAGGAAAGUGUUAUUUUUUUC